Long non-coding RNA from Uranotaenia lowii, 446 nucleotides. RefSeq lists it as uncharacterized. The transcript has 3 exons. The record is from RefSeq and is a predicted model, not a curated record. NCBI's taxonomy places the organism in Eukaryota, Metazoa, Arthropoda, Insecta, Diptera, Culicidae.
GAAGCUGUCACUGCAAUUUCCGGGAGACGGAAAAUUUUAACAGUGCGGGUCGGUCGCAAAAGUUUUAUCGCGCCGUUUUCACGACACGAAGCGGAAGAAAACGCUGGACAUUAACGGCAAAUUGAAAGGACAAACGCCGAUCUCAGGACGAUCAUUCGUCAAGUGCACCCAUGCGGAACAUCGCUCAGCCGGGGCGAGAAGAAACUCCACCAAAGGUCGCGCAAAGCGGCCUUUUUUAUUUACCGCCUGUGCCAAACCGGAGGAAAUUGUUGUUCGUGCCUUUUCGCACACUGUGCGUACGCCAGUAGAAGCCGCAGGUUCCGCUUCUUUCCCCUGGUGGCUUGUCAAAGCGACACUAAGCUGGUGUGAAGCAGCGCGAGGAGAAAUGUCGUCGGCAAACGAAUCCGGAACAACUGGUUGGCCUGGCUUUCGACCACCUUCAGCUG